RNAcentral lists this ribosomal RNA (243 nucleotides) under uncultured bacterium. RNAcentral's name for it is "partial 16S ribosomal RNA". It matches the Rfam family "Bacterial small subunit ribosomal RNA", at positions 1243 to 1500 of the family's 1533-position model. The record is from RNAcentral.
UGCGAAGCGAAGCAGUGAUGUGAAGCAAAUCGCACCAAAGCCGGCCCCAGUUCGGAUAAGAGGCUGAAACUCGCCUCUUUGAAGUCGGAAUCGCUAGUAAUCGCAGAUCAGCAUGUUGCGGUGAAUACGUUCCCGGGUCUUGUACACACCGCCCGUCAAACCAUGAGAGUCACCAACACCCGAAGUCCGCUUUGGCGGCCUAAGGUGGGGGAGAUGAUUGGGGUUAAGUCGUAACAAGGUAGC